GCGCUCACAGAAGGAAUCAAACUGCUGGCAAAUAGCAAGCCAGUUUGCUCUGGCAUUUCCCUUGUGUGCUAAGUACACAAUAGCUGCUGCAGCAGAUGCCCCCGCGGUCACCAGAGCUAGCAUUGCCUUCACAAGAAUCACAGGAUGAAAGAAGAAACUUAGUGUUCAAAACUGAUAUGCAGUAAACUGGAGAAAGUGAUAAUCUCACCGCAUCGAAAAAGAUCAAGAUGAGCCUGCUAUACUUAGCCCUGCUCCUAAUGACGUGCACAAUUGACAGUGGGAGUGAAAGGAUGAGAUAGGCAGAGACAAUAGAGUUUGCCACCACAAAAAACCUGCCAACAAGAGAUAAAAAUGAUCGAACCAUCAGAUGUCCAUAAGUUAUCUAAAGAAGCAAUGCUAUCAACUAUUGAGGAGGCUUCUGCAAGUACGUGAGAGUUGGGAGAUCGCUGUAUUGCGCCUUGAACCGGAUGAACUGGGUGAAGAAAGGCAGCGUCUGAUUGGUGGUGCCCAUGGCAAUGGCACUCGCGAGGGUGCCAAUGAUCGCGACAAAGCGAAGUAUAACAUCGAGUAUAGACACUCCUUUACUGACCCCCCUGCUCAGGGGUGCCUUUGAGGUCUCACCAUGCUCCUCAGACCCUUCCAUGGUAAUGUGCGUGGAUUAGGUCCGUUGAUGCCAGAGCAGGUGGCCGUGCAGGAUUUGUGUUGAUACGUACUUCCAGGAGCAUUUCGGCUGGUAACUACUCCAAUUGCCCCAAGUAGACCAAUUGCAUUGUUUCAUGCAGGGUUUGUGGCCUCUUGGCCCUCUUUACACCAGUGGACUACUGAACUUCCACUGAACACGGGACUGGCUUGUGUCAUGGCUAUGCGUCUUGUUAUGCAGGAGGCUUCAACUGAACGUUCGUUAGCUCGUUCCAACUACAAAAAAGGCAUUGAUACACACUGUUGCAAGUCAUUUCAUAAGAUGCAGGGAUAUCUGCUAUUCUGUCUGGAGCUUCUCUUUCGUUGUGAAGCAAGUUGGGUUGGUGUAUUAUUAUUUCCUGCCCCUGCCAACUCAAAGAAACAUAUAUGGCUACACCUACACACUCAGCUGUAAUGCAUAGCGCUACCACUUCCCUUUUAAGCUGA
This is a non-coding RNA of Oryza sativa Japonica Group (Japanese rice), 1125 nucleotides long. The record is from RefSeq and is a predicted model, not a curated record. NCBI's taxonomy places the organism in Eukaryota, Viridiplantae, Streptophyta, Magnoliopsida, Poales, Poaceae.